ACGGAAGGCAGCAGUGGGGAAUAUUGCACAAUGGGCGAAAGCCUGAUGCAGCGACGCCGCGUGAGUGAAGAAGUAUCUCGGUAUGUAAAGCUCUAUCAGCAGGGAAGAAAAUGACGGUACCUGACUAAGAAGCCCCGGCUAACUACGUGCCAGCAGCCGCGGUAAUACGUAGGGGGUAAGCGUUAUCCGGAUUUACUGGGUGUAAAGGGAGCGUAGACGGUUUGGCAAGUCUGAAGUGAAAUGCGGGGGCUCAACUCCUGAACUGCUUUGGAAACUGUCGAACUAGAGUGCAGGAGAGGUAAGUGGAAUUCCUAGUGUAGCGGUGAAAUGCGUAGAUAUUAGGAGGAACACCAGUGGCGAAGGCGGCUUACUGGACUGUAACUGACGUUGAGGCUCGAAAGCGUGGGGAGCAAACAGGAUUAGAUACCCUGGUA
This 434-nucleotide ribosomal RNA is filed under the name uncultured Lachnospiraceae bacterium. Its description in RNAcentral is "partial 16S ribosomal RNA". It matches the Rfam family "Bacterial small subunit ribosomal RNA", at positions 341 to 792 of the family's 1533-position model. The record is from RNAcentral. Lineage: Bacteria; Bacillati; Bacillota; Clostridia; Lachnospirales; Lachnospiraceae.